GAUGGUGAGGAUCCUGUUCUGAGGGAAGGGGAGCUCUCGAACCCUCGUGUCUUCACAGAGCCCCCAGCAGCAUGAGGGGUUUGGUUCAGCUCCCUCGUCCUGGAGAAGCAGAUAGCCUGAGUUGGGCCCUGCCGGUGGUGGUGGUUGAAUGGCGGCAGCACCAGCAGAGUUCUUGAAGACGGAGAGCGGCCUCGUCGUGUACAUCUCCUCGGCCCUGGUUGUUCCCGGAGAUGAGGUUUGUGGAGGUGAAGAUGGCUCUGAUACUGCUAUUAGUACACCAAGAUCUCUCGCUCUUUCUCCGAUCUUUCACAGUAGACCUUUCAAAUCUUUUCUCUGUUAUGAUCCAUUGAUGACAUCUUCUAAGAAGCUAACCUUUGGUAGAUUAUGACAAUGCCGUGGAGCUGUGAAGAAUAUGUGAAUGAUCAACUCGAUCCAACAAAUCAAUGAGAGAAAGAGUCAGAGAUGCGUGGGCAUAAUAUUUAAUGCUUCUUUUUUGAAAAUAUUGACAAUCUAACCUUACAAUUUGAGUCAUCGUAGCAUAAGAUGAAGAAUGCUUCUCCUCUUCAUCUUCAUAUCAGAGAGGUUCCAUCUGCAUCUUCGUGGAGAUGGUACCCAAACAAUCAACCGUAAGACGCCUUCAAAGAAAGAAAUCGGUUCACCAAUCAUUAAAGCAACAUGGAGAGCUUCCUUACAACUGCUAAAAGAAGAAAUAGUAAAAGGUCAGCUUCUUUUGCUUGCGAGGUCAUCGUUAUACGGUCCGAGAGAGAGGGAGAGACAGAGAGAGAGAAGCCUAGACAAAACCAAAGAGAUGAUGAUAAGGUUCGAAAAGUCCGCGUACUUGAUAUGAGGUGAUGGCAGUCACUGGCAGCGCCAUGCAUUCAACAACAUACCGGAGGAUGCGCUCAUCUCUCUCCGUGUGAUCGGAGCGUUGACCAGCUUCCCUCCGAGUUGCGUCUGAGAAGCUGCGGAGAUCACAGAACCUGCACCAAACUAAUGGUAGAAGAUAAGCCACCACAUUAAAGACCUGCUUGUUUGCAGUUCCAGCAGUCUCUCAUCUUCACAUGGAGCUCAUAGUGCCGGAGUCACGAUCGACAAGUCUUAGCAUCCUAAAAUCCGAAACAUGACAGAUGAAAUAAUAUUCAACAAUGUUCAAUGUAAAGCAGUAUCGAACCUCGCUUGGAUAUACCGUAAAAUGAUGAAAUAAUAUUCAACAAUGUUCAAUGUAAAGAAUUGUUGCUGCAACGAAAAAUCCAACAACUAAUUUGUCAAAGAGGUUACCACAAGAAAGUAAAGAAAGCUCAUGAAAUUGAUGAGGCAGAUAAUAGAGAACUCUAUUUCCUCAUAUUUCUUGAGGAUGCCAGCUAUAUAUUUUGAGCAACUAAAAUCCUCAUCUAAAAGAAUUAUUUUUGAAGUAAUAAGAACUAAUUUAUUGACAUACUUUUCUAUUUUGGAAGAGAAAUACAAACCCUUCCUGCAUCAUUGGUCCAGCCACACAGGAAAAACAUCAAAAACACACAACACCUCUGCUAGCAUAACCUUACUGUAAUCUCCAAAAGAACACUCAUCCAUUUGUUAAUAAACUAAAGGAAUCCUCAUACUUUCAAUCAAAUGUCCCAAAUAACAAUGAACAAAUAAUAGAUUUCACAGAUAUAACAACAUGAAAACAAAUAAAGAGAAGUUGAAAUUGUUUGUAUGUAGGGAUUACUCUUUCUUUUUUUAUUCUUUAUUUGAUUAUAAAAUCUAAAACAAUGAUUGAUGCCUUUUUUUUUUUCUUUCCACAAGUUACUGCUCUAAAGUUCUGAAGCUAGACUUUUUUUUUUUUGUAAGAAUACAACCUUUUGAUAUUUAGAAACUUAAAGAUGCAAUAAUAAGGAAUCCUAGACACUGGAUCACCUCUCUGAAGUUGUUAAGCUAAAUCUUUUCUAUAAAAAAGCAACCUUUUGAGAUUUAACUGAAAGAUACAAUAAUGAGGAUUCCUACAAUGAAGACAUUGCAUCACCUACAAAUUAUUAUUAUUAUUAUUAUUAUUAUUAUUAUUAUUAUUAUUGUGAUAAAUUAUCAAGAUCUUUAUUGAAAAAAAAGGAGAUAAUCUUAUAAAAUUAACACUAUGACCCAUUAUAUAGAUUAAAUAAAUAAAAAAGAUUAACACAAUUGUAUGAGCAACUCAAAAUUCGACAUGAUUUACAUGUAAAAAAGUAACCUUCUAAGAAAUUGUGAUGUGGUGUACUGUACAGUCUUUACAUGUAUUAGCAGAACAAGCAUAGGAAGUCUUUAUCUUAAAAAAUAGAAAAGUAGUUAGAUAUGUUCUCUUUUGUUCCCCCGUGCGAAAACAAGUUCAGUCAUUCUCAAGAAGCCAAAAUGUUUUUUUGUCUCUCAUAGAUUAUAUUAUCCAUCACACUCUCAUUUAAAGUGGUUCAGGGACAGUAGUUCAGAAACACAUCCACAACACAACCUAUUAAUUCUCUUACUUGAGAGGUAUAUUGACUAAUCAUUUAUCUCGAAAUUGAAGAUUAUUUUGUGUGUAAAAAGUCAUUAAUUCACGAAGCAUUCAGUCGAACACUUUGAGCUCAUAUCGGGAGACAUGUACUUUCUGCUGAUCCGAAAGUCACCUGUCACAUAUUAGAACCCUACAGUUCCAGUAAUGCUACAACAUAAGUGUUGAUUUCACAUGGAUUUGAUCGCGGGAAAGAACAAGAACGCACCACCAAGAUUCAAGCCAUUCGAAAUCAAGAAAGCUAAAAAGGCAAGAACACCACACCACCACCUCUUCUCUGCGAUAUAAGAUGCACGAACACAUAAUCUUGAGAAAGGCAAGGAACAUAGGGAGGCAAAGAAAGGGACGGACCUGCCUAGUUCUUCUCGGUGAGACCGGACACGAUCCACCGCCGUCGUGUUCGCAUUGGCCCCUCCCUGGUGACCGAUCUGACCGCGAUCGCGGAUAAGCCGCACGUCACUUCAGUUUGGGGCACCCUAAUCCCCGGAGAGUACCCACGCCUCGGAGCCCACAAAGCCCUCCCAUUCUCCCACAUCCAAAUGUGGCUUGGAGCCAACGUCACCCUCCCUCAUCGACGCUCCAUCGCCCCAAAUCACUUUGGUCAUUCUCCUCGAUGUAAACGCAUUCUUGGAAGACGAUAGCUUUAAGCAUUGAGCUGCUCUGCACAUGGAUCUCACGUGAUACCUUUUAUUCUAUUUGAAUCAGAUGCUAAUAGACUCAUGUUCACGAUUUGAAUUGGUUCAUUUCGAUUGGACCCGGUUCAGAUCGACCGGUUGGAUCCAAUCUGAUGGCUAUGAUUCUAUCAGAUUCUACUGAUGUAGUGAUGAGAAAUCUUUCUUUAUCCAUUAUUUUCAUUGUAUUACUCCGCCAAAUACAACUCAAUUUCAUGGGUGAACUUAUGAGCUCGGCCAUGGAGUCAAUUUUGACCAGUCAAUGCUUAAACAUACCAAUCAUCUCCAUCGAUAUAUGCAUUGCUUUAACAAAUCAGGAUUAGAAAAAGAACAUUAUUAUAUGAUGUAAGCACAUUGACUCGCCCGUAAAGGUUUCAUCGAGAAGUACUCGGCCAUUCAUAUUGCCCGAGAGAAGAAGCAGCAGCCACCAUUUUCGUGUGAUCAUCACACUAUAAGAGGUCUAGUGUCUCUACAUCAGGUUCAAGCAGCCCUGUGAUACCAAACACACUGCAAGUCCAAGCAGACCUGGAAGCGAUCAAAUCUUCAUUGCUCAAAGAAAGUGCUACUGCUUCUGCACAACCAUAUGAUCUUUCAGUGUUAGCUGAUACCGAUUUGUCAAACUACCCUGCGGAGGUUCCUGCAGUUGAUGACUCCGACAAACCAUAAUGUUAAUUGAUUUUAGUAGGUAGCGGAAGCGAAGCUACGAGGUCUUGAACUGCACUCCACCGGCUGUUCUUUGCUGCUGUGUUUGCAAAACUGGGAAGCCUACAGUUUCCCGUUGCUUCAGUGAAAGGUAAAUACUACUAUACCUUCAAUGAUUUUGCUUCUCGCUUGAAUGCUAGUCAGGAUUGUGAGCAUGUUUGUACAUUUUCUUUUAGUGUCAUUUAAUGGAAUACCUGCAAUGAUUUAUUUGUUGGUUGAAUGCUGGUGAGGAUUGUGAAUGCUGACAUGUGUGAUCGUUUUCUACCAUUGUCACUUGUUGUCAAGACUAAAUGAUGGUGCCUGUCGAUCGAGUUACCCCAUUCUUGCUGCUUCAUGUGACUGUUUUCCUAGCAUUACUAAUAGCCAGGAUCGAAAUAGCGUGUAUAUUUCUUGCCAAGAGAGCAUUUACUCGAACAUACAUGUGAUCUAACACCUCGAGUUGUAACACCUAAUGUCCGGUGUGGAGCAGUAAUAAACAUUUUUGUCUGUAUGUAUAUGUUCAUGUCUUUUAUUUUUAAUAUAAUACUUGUAUAUGUCCGUAUGUUUUAUUUUUAUUCAUAUUUUGGGCUACAUUAGGCUUAAUAGUCUCCAUUUAGUUGACUUUUGUGGUCAUUUCAGGUUUGUAAACAUAAGUUAUGUAUAGUCAUUACGUAGAGGCAAAAUUGUCCAGAAAUAAGUCAUCCAAAUAAUUAUUUUAAGGGUUUUCUAGCUCUACAGAGUGGUACGGAAUGUCAGCUAGUAUAACACCUAGGAGCUACCCAGGUGGCACAUGGCUAGAUGGGUAUUUGGAGUGGUGUCUAGGGCUGGAUUACCACAUUAUUCUAUGGUAGUGUCAUGUAGUCAUUUGCAGGGACUUUCGACUAUAGUGAACCACCUCAGACUAUUUCUCAUGUAAUCAUUCAGACCCUUCAAAGUCUAUGUUUAUAAUUUGCAUUACCUAUCAAGUAUUUGUUGAAAUUGCUACUUAUGGAUUCUAAGUUAAACGCUUUUUCUAACCCGUCUUUUUUGCAUAUCACAAGAGGUUUCGGGAAGGUUGACCCUUUAGGGAUGGAUACGCAAAAGUGCCGCACAACUUAGGGAUAGCUACCUAAGUCCAUGACAAAUUAUAUUAUAGUGGAAUAGGCACACUUAAAAAUACUUGGUAUAAAAAUGUGAGAGACCUAGCUAGGUGGCGUUGAGGGCAGCCAACACACAUAACCAUUUGCGAGAAACGGGUGUUGAGAUGUAGGGAAAGGAGUUGCUUAGAAGAGCAAGUAUCUGAAAUUGACAUUCAAAGGAAUAGCUAACCCUUUGCCCGAGAGGCUUCACGAGGACAAUCGAGCUGGAAAGAACAUAACAUACAAAAGUUGGGAUGGUUGAAUUCGAGCUACGACUCGACAUGGUAACCAAACUUAAUGGUACUUAAGGUAAGUGAGGUGUUUAGCAAAGGAUGAGAUCGUGAAAGGUGAGGUGAGUUGCUCAACGAUCGAAAGAGUUAUGCAAAACUCACAGAGGUGAGGGGAAUUGUUAAUUCAAAAAAUUCGGUAUCCAUGCAAAGGCUUGUAUGUACACAAUGGGCUGUCUAUAACCAUCCCAAGGCAAUUAAAACUUUGACGCUACGGAACAUUAAAACUUUUCCUUCAACAUGGGGAGGAUACAUCUAGAGAAAGCUAAAAUGUGUAGCAAGUUCAAUAUAUUACUAGGCCUUGAGGAGAAUAACAGGGGUUGCAUUGACGAAGAGUCAUAAUCUAGUAAGUUUGUUUAUAGGGAUAGAAUAGUGCAUAGUUUGUUUAGCAUGGCUGAGUAGUUUAAGAGGAUAGUGGUCUCCAAAACUUUUGGAGGGAAAGAUGCGAAAAAUUACUCCAAUAAGAGAGAUAUCCAAGAGGGAUAAGUCUCGAUUUGUCAGAUGGAGAAUCAUAUAUAACAAACUAUACAGAGGAGGGGUACCUCAAGACAAUAACUCUACAAAGCUCAACAAACUGAGUGAACGACGAGGAGUCAUCACAUGAUCUCACACGUAAUGUGUUAAGGAACGCAUUGCACGAUCAAGUGGGGGAGUGAUCCAAGAUAACAACAAACGAAGACACUUAGAAUCGAUAUGAAAAUCAGACUCAACAGUGUGUUGACCCGUGGAAUAAUGGGUGUGAAGGUCAUACUCAACUCAAUAUAAAAUGAGGAGUAGAGAUGAAGGGCAUAAAGUUUAUCCAAGAAAGAUUCAAAAUGCAAUAGGGAUUCACGGGAAAGAGACAUAGUGCAAUGGACCAUGAUAGAAUAAUUUGAGACAAUGCAACAUAUGAAAAUUUUUUUUACCUUCUUAACUCAUAAAGAGAAUGAACAAAAUAGAAUAUCCCGUAUCUCUUAAUUAUCUAACAAAAAGUUCAAAAAUAAUAUGAAAAAGGUACAAAUGGCAAGCCUGAAGUAAGAGUUCGGCGACCAUCAGAACGCCGGCAACGCCGUCAUUCCCACUUGGUUUGAAUCGUACCCGUGUGCUUGAAGUCAACUAUCAAGGCCGAGCUUCCAUCCAUCCUCCUCACCACAAACCUCUCCACCAACACGUAGCACCCAAAUUUCUUCCACGGGCUCACCCCUCCGUACUCCUCCGACCUCUCCACCUUCACUUCACCGCCGACCCACCCUCCCCUCCCCUGCUCCCACCUCAUUCUCUCCCAUACCGGGGAGCUCAGCCCCACCCUCUCUCCCUCCAAAUCAAGCGGCUUGUACCACACCACGCCGUCCUGUCCACCUGCGCCGUCUCGCGUCGCCUCCACGCCACCCAACACCGCGCCCUCCGCCCCAACAGUAGCCUUCACUUCCACGGUCCUCCGAUCGCCAUACAAGUUCUCGCACGCGAACACCUGUUCCCAGCGCUGCUCGAGGGUGAUAUCGUAGAAAGCCGAGCGCUCCAUUUGACGCCGCAGGCUAUCUCCUUCCUUCACGAACACGCAGGGGGCGUACCACCUCCCCACGACCAAACCGGCACCACCUGCGCCAGAUAUCGGCAACUCCAACGCGGGCGUGCGGGCACGAAGGGCUUUGUCAAGCCCCCAGGCGUCGGUCAAGUCGAAGUCCGUGGGCUUCGAAGCAUAAAGCUCCCAGUACUUACUCCUCAGUGGCCAUGGAGCGAACCCAUCCGGAGCUACGGACUGCGCGGUGAACCUGCCUCUCUUGCAGACGAUCUCCACCUGCUGGUAGAUGUCCCUGUGAUCGAACUCUCUCGGCUUGACAUCGUUGACGCUCCGGCAGAAGCAGCAUGUGGUCAUGUCUUCCUCCAGGGAGCAUGUAUACGCUUUCCUGCACAUACAGUCGAAAUCCACCCGACAUUGUUGUGAGAAAACUACGGGAGGGAGGGAAGGAGAUCGAGAGAGGUGCGCCACCCUUUCUUUUUGCCCUUUGCGACGAUGACGUAGUAGUGAUUGGAGGAGAGCGAUUUGUCGAGGACGGGGAUGAACAGGGCCGGCAACUGCCAUGUGUGAGUGCCCUCCGUGUAGGUGAUGGUGAGGAUCCUGUUCUGGGGGAAGGGGAGCUCUCGAACCCUCGUGUCUUCACAGAGCCCCCAGCAGCAUGAGGGGUUUGGUUCAGCUCCCUCGUCCUGGAGAAGCAGAUAGCCUGAGUUGGGCCCUGCCGGUGGUGGUGGUUGAAUGGCGGCAGCACCAGCAGAGUUCUUGAAGACGGAGAGCGGCCUCGUCGUGUACAUCUCCUCGGCCCUGGUUGUUCCCGGAGAUGAGGUUUGUGGAGGUGAAGAUGGCUCUGGUACUGCUACUAAUACACCAAGAUCUCGCGUUUUUUCUCCGAUAUUUCACAGCAGAUCUUUCAAAUCUUUCGUCUGUUGUGGAAAUAUCUGGCUGUGGCUUGUUGGUCAAGAUGUCGUCCAUUGAUGAAAUCUU
Molecule: long non-coding RNA, 7730 nt
Filed under: Musa acuminata (dwarf banana)
Lineage: Eukaryota; Viridiplantae; Streptophyta; Magnoliopsida; Zingiberales; Musaceae
Description: long non-coding RNA (MACU_LNC002941)
Source: RNAcentral